This 497-nucleotide ribosomal RNA is filed under the name uncultured bacterium. RNAcentral's name for it is "partial 16S ribosomal RNA". It matches the Rfam family "Bacterial small subunit ribosomal RNA", at positions 28 to 507 of the family's 1533-position model. The record is from RNAcentral.
GAUGAACGCUGGCGGCGUGCCUAAUACAUGCAAGUCGAGCGAACAGACGAGGAGCUUGCUCUUCUGACGUUAGCGGCGGACGGGUGAGUAACACGUGGAUAACCUACCUAUAAGACUGGGAUAACUUCGGGAAACCGGAGCUAAUACCGGAUAAUAUAUUGAACCGCAUGGUUCAUUAGUGAAAGACGGUCUUGCUGUCACUUAUAGAUGGAUCCGCGCUGCAUUAGCUAGUUGGUAAGGUAACGGCUUACCAAGGCAACGAUGCGUAGCCGACCUGAGAGGGUGAUCGGCCACACUGGAACUGAGACACGGUCCAGACUCCUACGGGAGGCAGCAGUAGGGAAUCUUCCGCAAUGGGCGAAAGCCUGACGGAGCAACGCCGCGUGAGUGAUGAAGGUCUUCGGAUCGUAAAACUCUGUUAUUAGGGAAGAACAAAUGUGUAAGUAACUAUGCACGUCUUGACGGUACCUAAUCAGAAAGCCACGGCUAACUACGUG